UAUUCUUAACACCGAAUAAACAGUGUUCUAAAAGAUUGAAAAUCUAAUGUGCUAAUUACACCAUAAGAAC
RNAcentral lists this transfer RNA (70 nucleotides) under Loliolus japonica. RNAcentral describes it as "Loliolus japonicus tRNA-Glu". The record is from RNAcentral. Lineage: Eukaryota; Metazoa; Mollusca; Cephalopoda; Myopsida; Loliginidae.